This 350-nucleotide transfer-messenger RNA is filed under the name Spirochaetes bacterium ADurb.Bin218. RNAcentral's name for it is "transfer-messenger RNA, SsrA". It matches the Rfam family "transfer-messenger RNA". Rfam says of the family: Bacterial tmRNA, also known as 10Sa RNA or SsrA, is named for its dual tRNA and mRNA-like properties. Lineage: Bacteria; Pseudomonadati; Spirochaetota. The record is from RNAcentral.
GGGGACGAUCUGGUUUCGACUGCAACAGUAGUUCUGUAGUUGCAUGCCGAGUGCGCUGUCAUCUCGUAAAUAAUGGCAGAUUAAACAUAAGUGCAAACGAAAACUACGCUUUAGCAGCAUAAAACCUGCUAUGUCUUUCUGCAUAUUGCUCCUCUGGGUAGCAGAAAGGCAUGAGCUACAGAGGAUAGCCUGAUACUUUGCCCCUAAGUUGAAGGCGAAAAUCUAAAGGGAUCGGCUUUUGAAACAGUGCCACAUUCUGGUUCAAAGGCUUAAAUGAAAAAGUGUGGAUAAGCAUGUAGACGCUGCAGGAGUAUUUUGCAGGACGCGGGUUCGACUCCCGCCGUCUCCAC